UGCAAGUCGAGCGGUAGAGAGAAGCUUGCUUCUCUUGAGAGCGGCGGACGGGUGAGUAAUGCCUAGGAAUCUGCCUGGUAGUGGGGGAUAACGUUCGGAAACGGACGCUAAUACCGCAUACGUCCUACGGGAGAAAGCAGGGGACCUUCGGGCCUUGCGCUAUCAGAUGAGCCUAGGUCGGAUUAGCUAGUUGGUGGGGUAAUGGCUCACCAAGGCGACGAUCCGUAACUGGUCUGAGAGGAUGAUCAGUCACACUGGAACUGAGACACGGUCCAGACUCCUACGGGAGGCAGCAGUGGGGAAUAUUGGACAAUGGGCGAAAGCCUGAUCCAGCCAUGCCGCGUGUGUGAAGAAGGUCUUCGGAUUGUAAAGCACUUUAAGUUGGGAGGAAGGGUUGUAGAUUAAUACUCUGCAAUUUUGACGUUACCGACAGAAUAAGCACCGGCUAACUCUGUGCCAGCAGCCGCGGUAAUACAGAGGGUGCAAGCGUUAAUCG
This 496-nucleotide ribosomal RNA is filed under the name Pseudomonas sp. LS28. RNAcentral's name for it is "bacterial SSU rRNA". It matches the Rfam family "Bacterial small subunit ribosomal RNA", at positions 56 to 547 of the family's 1533-position model. Lineage: Bacteria; Pseudomonadati; Pseudomonadota; Gammaproteobacteria; Pseudomonadales; Pseudomonadaceae. The record is from RNAcentral.